CAUCACUCCAUAAUUAGUUGUGACACUUUUGCAUGACAAAUGACCCACUUGAAUGUUAUUUCUACAGACCUGAGGUCCUCUAUCCUCCAUGAUUUAAUAAAGAAAAUAAACACAGCUAUCAGUUUUGACAGGAGAGAACUGGGUGACACACAGGUGGGGGAAAGAGGAGAAGAGAAAAUAUAUAUAUGGAAAAACAAAGAAGAAUCAAGGAGUCGCUUUGUAGCCACCAAGAGGACAAGACAUGUCCGAGAGCCACUCCAGAAGUCGUCGAUCGCCUGGCUCCCAAGAGGAAAGUCACUGAUUUUGAGAGAGUGAAUAGUGAAUGCAAAAUUAGGUCACAUCCAUCUGGAAAAUUGUGAAGAAAGAUACAGCUGAUAACUUAACAAAUUUGUAAAAUCUACUGACAGACUAAAGACUGAUAAAAAAAAAAGAAAAUUUUACUUUGAACUAAAGACUCUCUUGUGUGUGUGUACUUUCUGAAACAGAGGAAGAAAAGAAAGGAAGAUGACUAGCGCUCGCCAACUCUACUGAUUAAUUUAUUUCAGGUAUUUAUCCUCCAUGGAGAAAUGAAUCUCACAAUUGUAACUCUCUCUCAAUAAAGAUCUAAGGUUUGCAGAAACCGUAGUUGCCUGUCUCAAUCUGUGCCAAAAACGUCUCACUUUGCCAUUCUUACUCAUGCAUCCAAACCAUGACCACAGUAGGCUAAUGCCUGUCUUAAUCAUCCAUUCGAAUCCAUAGUUUUUUGCAAGCAAAG
This 754-nucleotide long non-coding RNA is filed under the name Androctonus crassicauda. The record is from RNAcentral. Lineage: Eukaryota; Metazoa; Arthropoda; Arachnida; Scorpiones; Buthidae.